RNAcentral lists this non-coding RNA (660 nucleotides) under Pygoscelis adeliae (Adelie penguin). Its description in RNAcentral is "Eukaryotic small subunit ribosomal RNA". It matches the Rfam family "Eukaryotic small subunit ribosomal RNA", at positions 198 to 948 of the family's 1831-position model. Lineage: Eukaryota; Metazoa; Chordata; Aves; Sphenisciformes; Spheniscidae. The record is from Rfam by way of RNAcentral.
UUGUUUUAUCCUGCACAAAUGCCUUUUUUCUAGGUUAAUUUUUGGUAAGAGUCCUUUGCAGUCUGUUCCUGUUACCUAGUCCUUGAAAAGCAAGGGCACAGUUCCCUGGAAAGGGAGCCUGAGAAGUGGCUAUCACAUCCAAGGAAGGCAGCAGGCGCGCAAAUUACCCAUUCCCGACCUGGGGACGUAGUGACGAAAAAUAACAAUACAGGACUCUUUCGAGGCCCUGUAACUGGAAUGAGUGCACUUUAAAUCCUUGAGCGAAGAUCCAUUGGAGGGCAAGUCUGGUGCCAGCAGCCACGGUAAUUCCAGCUCCAAUAGCGUAUCUUAAAGUUGCUGCAGUUAAAAAGCUCGUAGUUGGAUCUUGGGAUCGAGCUGGCGGUCUGCCGUGAGGCGAGCCACCACCUGUCCCAGCCCCUGCCUCUCGGUGCCUCCUCAAUGCUCUUAGCUGAGUGUCCCGCGGGGCCCAAAGCGUUUACUUUGAGAAAAUUAGAGUGUUCAAAGCAGGCCGACCGCUGCCAUACUGCAGCUAGGAAUAAUGGAAUAGGACUCCGGUUCUAUUUUGUUGGUAUUUUUUUACCUGAAAGAAGGUUGUAGCGAGGUGGGUGUCGGUCUCUUUUCCCAAGUAACUAGUGAUAAGAUGAGAGGAAAUGGCCUCAA